Physeter macrocephalus (sperm whale) is the source of this 253-nucleotide long non-coding RNA. RefSeq lists it as uncharacterized. The record is from RefSeq and is a predicted model, not a curated record. The transcript is spliced from 3 exons. NCBI's taxonomy places the organism in Eukaryota, Metazoa, Chordata, Mammalia, Artiodactyla, Physeteridae.
GUCGGUCUCAGGUGGGGCGGCAGCGGUGGCGGCCGGGCCCCAGUUUUCACUCUUGAAAGGCGUCAGGCAAAGCAGUUCGAUUAUGCCUUGGGAAAGCUAAAAGAAGAAAAAAAAGAUCUAAAUUUGUUUUCUUCUUGAGGAAAAAAAAAGAAGCAAACCCAGACAUUAGUCUCAACUUCACCGCACUUGACAUAAAAUGACUUUUGGCGUUUCCAGAUACCAAAUCCACACUCAGAAGGUAAAGAGGAUUUGC